AGGUAGAGACCGAUAGCAACCACGUGAUCAGUAAAAAUCGUGUAUUUUCACGUGAAAUUAUUUUUCGGAAUUCCGUACAUCUCCAUAGAGUAGUUGAAAAACAAAAAGGGGUUCCGAAAGUACAAGUUGUUGCUGUGACUGAAUCGAUGAUUGAGAGGGUCGUCUCGACGAAGGAUAGAGAAAUUUGGCCAUAGUUUAGAUUAGGAAUACGUCAAUGUAAUAAUAGUGGGCUAAAUGUUUCGUCCGUGAAGAAUGGCACUUUUUACCUCACGAAAUUCACCACCAUGCAUAGCUGCGCUACAUAAACAAAGUUGUUGAUGUAGCGUGAUCGUGAUGUCCGAGUGCUGCGAGUUUCAAUACUGUUUAUGUAGUCAUUGAGAGUUUAAACAAAGUUUCUUCUGAGAAGAGGAAUUCGAUGGAUGCAUUCAACGUGGACAACGAAAUCAUAAUUUCGUUUGCAUCAUCCUAAGGACCAGUGCAAGUUGAAAUGGGCUUCCAGCCAACAACUUCAACAGCAAUUUGCCAUGAAAAUCACCAAGAAAGGUACUUCAUUUACAUUGAUGAUGUCAUAUCCCCUGGACCCCACAACUUUACAGGUUACAGAGAAAAUUCAAGAACUUCUGCAAAAUGUGGGACUUGGAUAGAAUCAAUAAUGUAUUUGUGAGCCCAGAGCAAUGGAUAUAUUGUGCAACAUACUAUUCUAAAGUGUGAAUUUAAUGGAAAACAAGUACAUGUACUCAUGUAUUACAUGUCUUUUUUAAGACAAUAA
Ostrea edulis (European flat oyster) is the source of this 769-nucleotide long non-coding RNA. RefSeq lists it as uncharacterized. The transcript has 3 exons. NCBI's taxonomy places the organism in Eukaryota, Metazoa, Mollusca, Bivalvia, Ostreida, Ostreidae. The record is from RefSeq and is a predicted model, not a curated record.